GAAUNUACGACUCCCCGCUGUNUGCUAUCUAGCANUGGGNUAGUUCGUUCNAUGGCUCAGCANUUGCCCGCUCGGUCUUGCACAGCUUUACACAUGCAAGUCGAACGGUAACAGGUCUUCGGAUGCUGACGAGUGGCGAACGGGUGAGUAAUACAUCGGAACGUGCCUAGUAGUGGGGGAUAACUACUCGAAAGAGUAGCUAAUACCGCAUGAGAUCUACGGAUGAAAGCAGGGGACCUUCGGGCCUUGUGCUACUAGAGCGGCUGAUGGCAGAUUAGGUAGUUGGUGGGGUAAAGGCUUACCAAGCCUGCGAUCUGUAGCUGGUCUGAGAGGACGACCAGCCACACUGGGACUGAGACACGGCCCAGACUCCUACGGGAGGCAGCAGUGGGGAAUUUUGGACAAUGGGCGAAAGCCUGAUCCAGCAAUGCCGCGUGCAGGAUGAAGGCCCUCGGGUUGUAAACUGCUUUUGUACGGAACGAAAAGCCUGGGGCUAAUAUCCCCGGGUCAUGACGGUACCGUAAGAAUAAGCACCGGCUAACUACGUGCCAGCAGCCGCGGUAAUACGU
RNAcentral lists this ribosomal RNA (569 nucleotides) under uncultured bacterium. RNAcentral describes it as "bacterial SSU rRNA". It matches the Rfam family "Bacterial small subunit ribosomal RNA", at positions 1 to 528 of the family's 1533-position model. The record is from RNAcentral.